UGUAUCUGAAGCCUGACGAGGAUGAGAACCUCCGGGGGCAAGAGGUUCGACCCGAGCGAAGCGAGAGAACGUUGCGUCAGCAACGGCCCGCCAUCGACGCAAACCCCCACGACAG
This 115-nucleotide small RNA is filed under the name Salmonella enterica subsp. enterica serovar Montevideo. RNAcentral's name for it is "RtT sRNA". It matches the Rfam family "RtT RNA", at positions 1 to 112 of the family's 130-position model. Rfam says of the family: This family represents a bacterial cis-regulatory element known as RtT RNA. The exact function of RtT is unknown although it is thought that it may be involved in changing the cellular response in relation to amino acid starvation. Lineage: Bacteria; Pseudomonadati; Pseudomonadota; Gammaproteobacteria; Enterobacterales; Enterobacteriaceae. The record is from RNAcentral.